Molecule: transfer RNA, 67 nt
Filed under: Metoecus cf. javanus JL-2021a
Lineage: Eukaryota; Metazoa; Arthropoda; Insecta; Coleoptera; Ripiphoridae
Description: tRNA-Val
Source: RNAcentral
CAAAUUAAAGCUUUUAUAGCAUUUUAGUUACAUUAAAAAGAUAGGUUGUAGUAUCAAUUUAAUUUGA